ACUCCUACGGGAGGCAGCAGUGGGGAAGUAUUGACAAUGGCGGCAAGCCGAUCCAGCCAUGCCGCGUGUGUGAAGAAGGCCUUCGGGUUGUAAAGCACUUUCAGCGAGGAGGAAAGGUUAAGUGUUAAUAGCACUUAGCUGUGACGUUACUCGCAGAAGAAGCACCGGCUAACUCCGUGCCAGCAGCCGCGGUAAUACGGAGGGUGCAAGCGUUAAUCGGAAUUACUGGGCGUAAAGCGCGCGUAGGUUGUUUGUUAAGCGAGAUGUGAAAGCCCGC
This 277-nucleotide ribosomal RNA is filed under the name uncultured bacterium. RNAcentral's name for it is "partial 16S ribosomal RNA". It matches the Rfam family "Bacterial small subunit ribosomal RNA", at positions 335 to 605 of the family's 1533-position model. The record is from RNAcentral.